This 277-nucleotide long non-coding RNA is filed under the name Olea europaea subsp. europaea. The record is from RNAcentral. Lineage: Eukaryota; Viridiplantae; Streptophyta; Magnoliopsida; Lamiales; Oleaceae.
UACAACCGAACGUAAACAACCGCUAGAAGAAGGCGAAACAACAAAAGGCCAAAUUAGUAACAAAGUUUACCGGAUAAUUGGAGCCGGAGCGCCGGUGCUUUCGUUAUUGGCUACAUGGCGGCGUUAAAAUUGUUCAUACUGUCCAUAUUUCUAUCCGUAAUCCUCACGCACAUCAAAGCCGAUGCUGAUGAUGAUGUCCAAUUACUCAAAUCGGACGGAUAUGAUUCCGUCCUGCUAGAACAGCUCAGGAACAAGAUCGGUGCUCUUGGUUAGUAGU